GUGACUCUGGAGAAUCCCAUCAACGGGUGCCGAAGGUGCAAGGCGGAAAGAAGGUUUCGCUCAAUCUCUCAGGCAAAAGGACGGAGAAA
RNAcentral lists this non-coding RNA (89 nucleotides) under human gut metagenome. RNAcentral's name for it is "Glycine riboswitch". It matches the Rfam family "Glycine riboswitch aptamer", at positions 9 to 86 of the family's 94-position model. From Rfam's summary of the family: This family represents the bacterial glycine riboswitch. The record is from RNAcentral.